CUACGGGUGGCUGCAGUGAGGAAUAUUGCACAAUGGGGGGAACCCUGAUGCAGCAACGCCGCGUGGAGGAUGACGCAUUUCGGUGUGUAAACUCCUUUUAUAUGUCAAGAAAAUGACGGUAGCAUAUGAAUAAGCACCGGCUAACUCCGUGCCAGCAGCCGCGGUAAUACGGAGGGUGCAAGCGUUACUCGGAAUCACUGGGCGUAAAGGACGCGUAGGCGGGUUGGAAAGUCAGGUGUGAAAUCCUACAGCUUAACUGUAGAACUGCACUUGAAACUGUUAAUCUAGAGUAUGGGAGGGGGAAAUGGAAUUAGUGGUGUAGGGGUAAAAUCCGUAGAUAUCACUAGGAAUACCUAAAGCGAAGGCGAUCUCCUGGAACAUUACUGACGCUAAGGCGUGAAAGCGUGGGGAGCAAACAGGAUUAGAUACCCCGGUAGUC
This 439-nucleotide ribosomal RNA is filed under the name uncultured bacterium. RNAcentral describes it as "partial 16S ribosomal RNA". It matches the Rfam family "Bacterial small subunit ribosomal RNA", at positions 339 to 795 of the family's 1533-position model. The record is from RNAcentral.